This is a long non-coding RNA of Hyla sarda, 370 nucleotides long. RefSeq lists it as uncharacterized. The transcript has 3 exons. The record is from RefSeq and is a predicted model, not a curated record. NCBI's taxonomy places the organism in Eukaryota, Metazoa, Chordata, Amphibia, Anura, Hylidae.
CCAUGAUCCACGAAAAAGGGAAAACAUUUUCGGCUUUUCAUACAAAAGCUAUUUCUUCUUUACUAUUUUUGGAACACUUGAAAAAUCUGCAUACAAGUGAUCCUAAGCAAGGGGAGAGCUAUUACUCCAGAAGAAAUGGUACAGCGGUGUCUGCAGACCGUAAAACACAACCGCUCUGGUUGGGCCAUCUGAUAAUUCUGCGAGCAUCUUAAGGUCAUAGGGUGCAUAUCAGAAGGAAAGAUUACUGAUGUCUUGAGAAGCUCAUGGCCGCCCAAGUAAAAGAUAGAAUUUCAGAGGAGGAGGAAGAAACAGAGGAAGAGCAUCCUAUUCUUUAUAAAUGCAACACUGGUCUCAGUCUAUGUAUAAAACA